RNAcentral lists this transfer RNA (73 nucleotides) under Canis lupus familiaris (dog). It matches the Rfam family "tRNA". Rfam says of the family: Transfer RNA (tRNA) molecules are approximately 80 nucleotides in length. Their secondary structure includes four short double-helical elements and three loops (D, anti-codon, and T loops). The record is from Rfam by way of RNAcentral. Lineage: Eukaryota; Metazoa; Chordata; Mammalia; Carnivora; Canidae. RNAcentral also lists the same sequence under 1 other name.
ACCUGGUUGGCUCAGUCAAUGGAACAUGAGACUCUUGAUCUUGGAGCUGUGAGUUCAAACCCCACACUGGGUG